CUACAGGAAUUUCUUUCAAGCCCUGGACAACCUGCCAAACCUGCAAAAUCUGGACAUCUCCAGGCAUAUCCCAGAAUGCAUCCAAGUUCAGGCCAGCACCGUCAAGGCUCUGGGUCAGUGUGUGUCCCGACUGCCCAGCCUCACCAGGCUGGGGAUGCUCAGUUGGCUGCUGGAUGAAGAGGACAUGAAAGUGAUUAAUGACGUGAAGGAAAGACACCCUCAGUCCAAACGCCUGACUGUGCACUGGAGGUGGGUGGUGCCGUUCUCUCCUGUCAUUCAGAAGUGAAGGAUGCAGGGGCAGCCUACUGGCAGGUCUAAAACCCUGUUUUCAAAUACAUUUCACUCUAGACAGGCAUGGCGUAAUCCUAGUACUUAGACUGAGCAGGAGGGUCAAGAGUUUGGGUCCAGCCUGGGCUAUGUGACAAUACUUUAGACCCCAAUCAAAACCAAAUCGUUUACUAUUCAUAUACAAAAUAUUCUUGAACUGUAUCAGGCUGGUAACUAUUUGAGGCCUGCACGCCUACACCAAGCUAUGAUGCCUUGGCAGUCCUCGUAUGGUCCCUCUUGUACAAAGACUAGAGCUUCAGGCAAGUUCACACAGAGAACCCUCCAUUAUCCAGAUCAAUAGAAGGGGGCUGUGGAAAGAAACAUUGAUCUAUGUCAAGACUACAUUGUGGAAGGAAUGAUC
RNAcentral lists this long non-coding RNA (688 nucleotides) under Rattus norvegicus (Norway rat). RNAcentral's name for it is "long non-coding RNA NONRATT016028". The record is from RNAcentral. Lineage: Eukaryota; Metazoa; Chordata; Mammalia; Rodentia; Muridae.